CUGACCACUAGGGGGCAGUAUAUAAGUGCGGCCCGCUUUCUCGCGCCCCCGCUGAUGCAUCAUUUCCGGGUCAGGUGUCUGUCUGCGCAGGUAAUGCUCCUCGCUACUGCUGUGGUUUAGUUUUUUGUCUGCUUAUCACUGUGUCCUCAUGAUUAAAGCUGCGUGUUUUCACUGCAGAGUAGCGACCAAGUGCUCCUUGCACUGUGCUCUGUUUUGCUCUUUGGUCCUCUCGAUCGGUUGUAGAUGUCUGCCGCCGUGUGGGUCUUUCUCUCCCCCCCCUCUCCUUGUGCAGGUUUGACCUUGAAAACAGGGAAUGCUCAUCAGCUGGCCAAAACCUACAGGUGGUGAUCCAUGUGACCGCACCAUCAGUUGAUUGGGGCCGCCGCUGCUGCUUUGUCUGCUGCAUUCUCCACUAUUAAAUGCUGCCAAGUGUACAAUUUUGUCUUUGCGAGGUACCCAGCGUGUCUACUGCCGGCUGCCGCCAUCGCUGGCUGGUGGGGCUACGGUUGGCUUGCCUGGGGGAUUGCCGACACCAGAUUUGAACCAGUUUAGUUCUUUAAUCAAAGCUGAACAACUGAGUAGUUAAUCCUUUAGUUUGUAUUAUUUUGGUUUGUUUCCUGUAUUUUCUUUAUUUGUUGGGUUACAUGAAUUGUUUUGUUAGGAUGAUUUUUGUGUGAAUUAUUUUCUGUUUCAUGUUUUAGGUUGUGUUGUAUGUUUUUGAUUUAAUUCUGUUGUAACCUUUUUUUGUUUGUUUAUCCCUUCUAGCGGCUGCAGGCUGGUUGCGUGGGUGGUGGUGGUAUUCUUCGUGUGUCGUGUUCCAUUUGAUUUUGUGCCAUCACUGGGUGAACUCUUAAGUUGGUUUUAUUAAUUCUCUUGCUCCACCACUGGCCCUUCUCACCAGUGGGCCUUUAGCAUUUUAUUAGGUUUUUUUCUGAUUAUGUGACAAAUGCCAGAUUUUAUAGUAAAUUAUAUUUACCUACCUUUUAUUGAAUAAAAAUGUUUUUGUAAACGGGGAACCACGAGCCAUUGCUUAUUGAGUGGAACGAACCUGUGCGCUUUAAAGGUCUUGGGCCUAUCCCAAGUGGCGUUGUUGGAAAACUUAAAAUUCCCUGCUACCCAUUCGCGCUGCCACACUUGGCGUUGCUGGCAGGAUAAGUCUUUUAAACGGCAAGGACGUGUGUUCCCUUUGGGUUUUAGUUUUUUUUUCUCUCUGGUGUAUUACUGUUGGUUUUCUUGUAGGCAUUUGGGAGAGUUUAAAGAGACAAAGCAGCAGUGGUUUCCAGUGGAUCUUCAUGCCAAUUCUGGGGAGACUUGGUAGAGCAGGUUAGACGUAGGUGGCUGUUUCUGAGUUUUACUGUAGCCAUGGAGGAAGAGUUACAGGAACUUAAAACUCUGAUAACCCAGUUAAAGGCUGAUAAUGGGCGGUUACGACAGGAACGGGCUGGCUUUGGUGCCUUACCGUCUACCUCUGUUGUGUCACCCACUGCCCCACCCACUUCCAGCAUCCCUGUAGCAGAUAGGAUGGUGUUUGUACCCCGUGAUAGGAAGUGUCCUGUUUUUAGGGGAAGAACAGCUAUUGAGUGAGUGGAGAGAGGAAAUAGAGGCGUGUAUGAG
Pungitius pungitius (ninespine stickleback) is the source of this 1614-nucleotide long non-coding RNA. RefSeq lists it as uncharacterized. The transcript has 3 exons. Lineage: Eukaryota; Metazoa; Chordata; Actinopteri; Perciformes; Gasterosteidae. The record is from RefSeq and is a predicted model, not a curated record.